This 892-nucleotide ribosomal RNA is filed under the name uncultured Collinsella sp. RNAcentral describes it as "bacterial SSU rRNA". It matches the Rfam family "Bacterial small subunit ribosomal RNA", at positions 8 to 922 of the family's 1533-position model. Lineage: Bacteria; Bacillati; Actinomycetota; Coriobacteriia; Coriobacteriales; Coriobacteriaceae. The record is from RNAcentral.
AGAGUUCGAUCCUGGCUCAGGAUGAACGCUGGCGGCGCGCCUAACACAUGCAAGUCGAACGGCACCUAUCUUCGGAUAGAAGCGAGUGGCGAACGGCUGAGUAACACGUGGAGAACCUGCCCCCUCCCCCGGGAUAGCCGCCCGAAAGGACGGGUAAUACCGGAUACCCCGGGGUGCCGCAUGGCACCCCGGCUAAAGCCCCGACGGGAGGGGAUGGCUCCGCGGCCCAUCAGGUAGACGGCGGGGUGACGGCCCACCGUGCCGACAACGGGUAGCCGGGUUGAGAGACCGACCGGCCAGAUUGGGACUGAGACACGGCCCAGACUCCUACGGGAGGCAGCAGUGGGGAAUCUUGCGCAAUGGGGGGAACCCUGACGCAGCGACGCCGCGUGCGGGACGGAGGCCUUCGGGUCGUAAACCGCUUUCAGCAGGGAAGAGUCAAGACUGUACCUGCAGAAGAAGCCCCGGCUAACUACGUGCCAGCAGCCGCGGUAAUACGUAGGGGGCGAGCGUUAUCCGGAUUCAUUGGGCGUAAAGCGCGCGUAGGCGGCCCGGCAGGCCGGGGGUCGAAGCGGGGGGCUCAACCCCCCGAAGCCCCCGGAACCUCCGCGGCUUGGGUCCGGUAGGGGAGGGUGGAACACCCGGUGUAGCGGUGGAAUGCGCAGAUAUCGGGUGGAACACCGGUGGCGAAGGCGGCCCUCUGGGCCGAGACCGACGCUGAGGCGCGAAAGCUGGGGGAGCGAACAGGAUUAGAUACCCUGGUAGUCCCAGCCGUAAACGAUGGACGCUAGGUGUGGGGGGACGAUCCCCCCGUGCCGCAGCCAACGCAUUAAGCGUCCCGCCUGGGGAGUACGGCCGCAAGGCUAAAACUCAAAGGAAUUGACGGGGGCCC